UUUCCCGAUCGUUAGUCCGAAACGGGCUAACCGGCAACCGCCCACAUAUAUAGAUUUCAUUCAUCUUCCGUUUUGGAAAAUCUAAUCGCGCGUCAUUCCAGGACCGAGGGAGUACAGAGUAAUUGUAUUUGUUUCCUCAUCUUUACUUCAUGUGAUUUUACUAAUCUCUAUCAAAUUCACGUUCUAAGUUGGAACCACCUUGAAGAGCAGCUGCAAUUCGUCAAUUUUCUCUCUGGGAUCAAUCACGGAAGAAUUGAAUCGGCCAUCGGUGUUGAAUGGCUGGGAUCUUUGAAUAUUUCGUGGUUUGUGGGAUCGGGCCCGAGAUUCGGACUUUAGAUGGCAACAAGGGAUUUCAUGGAUUCGGUUACAUGUAUCUACCGUCUCUUCUCGACCAGUAUCCGCCCUCCAACCAUUCUCUCUAUCCUCCUCCACCACCUCAGCUCCCAACAUGUGUUCUGCCAGCUGGGGUCGAGUUUUUUUCGUCGGGCUUCGAUUCCAGUGAUGCCUACACCUUUCCGCGCAGUUAUCCGAUUGUUUUGACGGAGGGCGAUGGGUCAAAAAUUUAUGUCAGUUGCAUUGCUUUUAGGGACCCUGUCAGCGAGGAUAUUGCCGAAGCUUACCGCAUUCCACCGAAUUCGUUUGCUGAUAAAUGUAUCUGUAUUGUUUCGCGUUCGUCCAGCUUCCGCGUUCUUAAAGAUGGGCUGGAGGAAUUAUUUGCUUUGUGCUUCUCCAGCAGUGGAAGUAGCAAGCCGCUGUGGGAUGUCAUAGCAUACAUGGUCUCCAAUGUACCUCUGCCUACUCCUGGGAAGGAACGGAUUUUGUUUGGUAUUGAGAAUUGUCUUCUUUCUGUUCAGGCUCCACCAAAGGAUGGGCUUCCCCACGCUGAUAUUUCAUUUCAGCCACUUAUGCAGUGCUUGGAUUUGGAAAAUGUAAUCAAACUUUUCACUGCGGUCUUGCUGGAAAGGAGGAUUCUUCUUCGAUCGAACAAGUAUUCACUUUUAACUCUGGUAUCAGAAGCCAUUUGUCAUCUAAUAUAUCCAUUUAGGUGGCAGCAUGUCUACAUUCCGUUACUCUUUUUCAGUGGAGUAGACUAUAUUGACGCUCCCACACCAUAUAUGAUGGGUCUUCAUUCAGGUGUUGAUACAUCCUAUCUGGCAAUGGAUGGUGUCGUUGUAGUGGACCUUGAGUAUAAUUGUAUCACCACUACAGAGGAAAUACCACCUAUUCCGGAACCAGAGCUUGGAUCUUUGCGUGGUGAGCUAAUGAAGUUAUUAUGUCCAAAUGUUGUCAGCAUAGAUCAAAUGAGGUCUGAUUUGCGUAGCUCAUCUGAGCAAUACCCUAGAGGUAGCAGCAAGCCUUGGGGAGAAGACCAUGACCUUCAGCUUAGGAUGAUAUUUUUAAAAUUCUUUGCAUCACUUUUAAGUGGCUAUCGCAAUUUUAUAGAAACCAGUGCGUCUGAUGUCUUCAAUACACAAGCAUUCUUGAAGAAGCGUUCACGAUCAACUAGUCAACCAACAGACCCCAUGAUAACUCAGUUCAUGGAGUCCCAUGGCUUCUUAGACUAUCUAGAGAGGUGCAUAGGUUCUGAUGAAAGUAAUAAUAAUCUUCUCGACAAGUUACAAGAUGCAAUUGGGAGGGGUCAAAAUCCUCUUUCAAUUCUUCCAUCCUUGUUGGCUGAACCUGAGAUCAUAACAAUUUCUGACCCUGAUAUGGCAACAUCAGGUUCUGGUGCCAAGUACACUUACGAUAGAUUUCCUCCAAACAUCAGAACUGAGGAGCAGGAAGAAAAGAGGAAGAAAAUUCUAGCAGAAGCAAGUGGAGCUUUUGAAUACUCAGGAAGGCAUAAUCCUAAUUCACCUUCUGUGCUAAUGGGCAAGGACUUGAAAGCAGAAAGCCUCAGUCCUAUGGAGAGGGCUGCGGAAAGAGAACGCAUGGUUUUGGACAUAAAAGUCAAACUACAGGGUCUCUGGCUACGUCUUCUGAAACUGAGUGCUACUGAUGAUCCUCCUCUUUCUUCUUUUGAAUAUGGCACUAUUCUUGCUUUGAUUGAAUCUGAUGCAGAGGGAAUUGGUGGUAGUGGAUUUGUUGAGUGUAUUAGAGAGCACAUAAAUACAGGAUGGAUUUGUCAGUUAACCGAUGAGCAAUUUAUUGCUGUGAAAGAAUUGCUAAAAACAGCAAUCAGUCGUGCGACUUCACGAAAUGAUGUAUUGACAAUUAGGGAUGCUCUUGAAGUGUCAGCUGAAAUGUUCAAGAAAGACCCUAAUAAUGUUCCUGAUUACAUCCAACGCCAUCUUAUUUCUCUAUCUAUAUGGGAGGAGCUAAGGUUUUGGGAAGGUUAUUUUGAUUAUUUGAUGGAACGGUCUUCAAAUAAAUCCGCCAAUUAUGCAUCUCUGGUUUCUGCACAGCUAAUUGUUAUGGCAUCGCAUAUGGCUGGGCUUGGGCUUCCUGACACUGAUGCUUGGUACAUGAUUGAGACAAUUGCAGAGAAAAACAGCAUUGGAUACAAGCAACUCAUAAGGCUCCGAGGAUUCUUAUCCCAUAUCCAGCAGCUGCGGAUUAGUUAUUGGGGGCUCUCUUCCUUCAAGUCCCAAUCCGUAUCUGCUCAUGCAUUGCCAUCUCCACGUCCCAGUGAUGGAACUGAUCAGAAUCAGCAGCCUGCUGAGGCUUCUGUUGUUGGAAGAAGCUGGGUUCAGAGCAUGUUUAGCAGGGAUACAUCUGCAAGGAUUAACUCUUUGGGUCGUAGUGGUCGUUGGUCUUCUGAUGCCACGAGUGAGAGUGGUACUCUUCAAAGACAAGAUUUAUCCCCAGCUGGCCAGAAAAAAGUUCAGAGCAAUAUCCGUGUUCUUAGGGGUCAUAGUGGAGCUGUGACAGCACUUCAUUGUGUUACGAAAAGAGAGGUGUGGGACUUGGUGGGAGACCGUGAGGAUGCAGGUUUCUUCAUUAGUGGAAGCACAGACUGCUUGGUCAAGAUAUGGGAUCCAAGCCUUCGUGGUUCUGAACUGCGAGCAACUUUGAAAGGUCACACAGGACCUGUUCGUUCUAUUAAUUCUGAUCGAGGAAAAGUAGUUUCUGGAUCUGAUGAUCAGUCCGUUAUCGUAUGGGAUAAACAAACAACCCAGCUUCUAGAAGAGCUGAAAGGCCACGAUGCUCAGGUCAGUUGUGUGCGUAUGCUAUCAGGAGAACGUGUCCUUACUGCUGCGCAUGAUGGAACUGUGAAGAUGUGGGAUGUUAGAACUGAUACUUGUGUAGCUACUGUUGGUCGUUGCUCUAGUGCAGUUCUAUGCAUGGAAUAUGAUGACUCCACAGGAAUACUGGCUGCUGGUGGUAGAGAUACAGUAGCAAAUAUCUGGGACAUCCGUGCUGGCAGGCAAAUGCACAAGCUUUUAGGUCAUACAAAAUGGAUACGCUCAAUUAGAAUGGUAGGAGACACCAUAGUUACUGGUAGUGAUGAUUGGACCGCUAGGUUGUGGUCUGUUUCUCGAGGAACAUGUGAUGCUGUUCUAGCAUGCCAUGCUGGCCCAAUAUUGGCCGUUGAGUAUUCCACACUGGAUAAAGGAAUAAUAACUGGUUCGACUGAUGGGCUUCUCCGUUUCUGGGAAAAUGAGGAUGGAGGUAUUAGAUGUGUGAAAAAUGUCACUAUUCACAGUGCUGCCAUAUUGUCCAUCAGUGCUGGGGAACAUUGGUUAGGAAUUGGUGCGGCAGAUAACUCAAUGUCCCUCUUUCAUCGGCCUCAAGAGAGACUUGGUGGCUUCACUAACACGGGCGCAAAAAUGGCUGGGUGGCAACUGUACAGAACCCCACAAAAGACUGCAGCCAUGGUACGAUGCGUGUCUUCAGACCUCGAAAGGAAAAGAAUAUGCACUGGUGGCCGUAAUGGCCUUCUGAGGCUCUGGGAAGCAACAAUCAACAUAUGAGGCAAUAUUGUCUUUGCGAGUUCAAAUGCUGUGCUAUUUUAUCGUGUAAAUUUCCUUCUUUUGCAUUCUUUAAACAACUUACAGAUACCUUAGCGUGGUUUAUGCCAUUUGUUUGGUCCACUGCUUCUUUUUAGUUUGCUUUAUCAAUGCUGCGGGGAAAUGUGGAUCGAAGAGUCGGCUAACUUCAGCUAAAAAGUGGACUUGGUUGAUGUAGUUCUUCUAGAGCCCUUGUGUUCAUUCGAGAAGUGAGGACUCAUCGUAAGACAGUGAAGCCUACUCUCAUGGAAAUCGAGUUGGACCUUAACUGCCAAUGCCAGAUGUGGAAAUGUGUCAUCAAUUUUUAUUUACCUCAUCUAAGUUUUGGAUCAAAUUUUUAUAUAUAUAUUGUUGGUUAAAAUUUUAUUUGUUUUCGCUCUUAUUCGCAUUGGAAUGUAGCAUAAGAAUAUAAGAGAUGCUGAAUUUAAAGAUGUAAGCAUCUGGUUUGACAUUGACUA
RNA transcript from Momordica charantia (bitter melon), 4408 nucleotides. It is a transcript of the gene named stomatal cytokinesis defective / SCD1 protein (SCD1), with no coding region annotated. The record is from RefSeq and is a predicted model, not a curated record. Lineage: Eukaryota; Viridiplantae; Streptophyta; Magnoliopsida; Cucurbitales; Cucurbitaceae.